CUUACCAAGCACGAAAGUCAAGCUCUACACCAUUAAUAUUAGCAUCCCCACACCCCGGAACAGAGAAAAAAAAUCAAGAGAGAUCCCUCUGGACAUUGGUCGGCUCUUCCUCGCCGGCCGUCCGCCGUUCACCGCCCAUCGUUCACCGCCGUGCCCGGUCGCCAUAUUUCCAUCCGAUGGCCGACAGGGAAUCUCGGCCACAUAACACGGCCUGAUUUCAGGAAAAUGCCGAGACCUCUCACAAGAGCCUCUCACCGAUCUCUCUCGUCCACGGCUGCUCUGUCCAUUCGCUCGCUCAACAUCGUUAGCUCGUGCCGUUGCCGUUCUUUGUCGUUCCUCGUUGCAGACCGUCUCCGAUAUCUGCACCGGUCACACCCCUGUUCGGCUCCAUCGCUGGUCCCGUAUCCUCGUGGGUGACAGGGCUUCAUAGCCGUCUCGAGCCCACUUGUUCAUUGGCUGCGAUUAGAGCUUCCAUUUCGUCAAGAAUGGAAAACUGUUAAGAAGCUUGAAGUCCCAUAUGGCAGCUGUGGCAUGUCUCAACUGGGAGGAGGAUACCCAAGUGAAUAGAGCUAUUGGGUUUCUGCUCUGUUCUUGGAAGAUUGAGAGAGCCUAUGAAGAUCUUCCCCUUUCCAGCAAGUUUAAUCCAGGCUAUGGACAUUGCACAAGCCUUAAGUCUCGACAUCACAAGAAAAUUUACUUGGAAGGCCCAGAUGCUUGUCAAACUUUCCUGCAAUAUGAUGUCGUAAAAACAAGUGCGAAAAAAAUGUACAACGUACAUACAAACUUAAAGCAACAUUUACAGAACUAAAUAGCAUGCAUAUAAUGAAUUAUCAAUAUGAUAAAAAGAGAAAGUCA
Syzygium oleosum is the source of this 855-nucleotide long non-coding RNA. RefSeq lists it as uncharacterized. The transcript has 3 exons. The record is from RefSeq and is a predicted model, not a curated record. Lineage: Eukaryota; Viridiplantae; Streptophyta; Magnoliopsida; Myrtales; Myrtaceae.